This 2696-nucleotide long non-coding RNA is filed under the name Homarus americanus (American lobster). RNAcentral describes it as "uncharacterized LOC121857506". The record is from RNAcentral. Lineage: Eukaryota; Metazoa; Arthropoda; Malacostraca; Decapoda; Nephropidae.
AUAGUUUACUGUUCCAAGUCAAACUCUUCUUAUUAUACCGAGUUAUUCAACGACCACACAUUUCUCUGGGGUUGGUGACCCCCCUUCCUUUCUCUUUUGCCUUAUGGCAUAAUUUGAGAUUUUCAGAUUUUUAAUGUUCUUCAUCAAGGUAGUAAUUGGUCUUAAUAUCUGACGAUGGUGUAUCUUUUUUGUGGUCAAAGACCACCGCUGUUCUUGGUUAAUAUCUAGUAUGUUUGCCACAAUUUCUUUGAUGGUUGCUUUUCCUGAAAAUAAAAAACACACAGUAUUAACAACCAUGAAUGAAAGCAAAUAGUUUACUGUUCCAAGUCAAACUCUUCUUAUUAUACCGAGUUAUUCAACGACCACACAUUUCUCUGGGGUUGGUGACCCCCCUUCCUUUCUCUUGCCUUAUGGCAUAAUUUGAGAUUUUCAGAUUUUUAAUGUUCAAGGUAGUGAUUGGUCUUAAUAUCUGACGAUGGUGUAUCUUUUUUGUGGUCAAAGACCACCGCUGUUCUUGGUUAAUAUCUAGUAUGUUUGCCACAAUUUCUUUGAUGGUUGUGUUUCCUGAAAAUAAAAAACACAGUAUUAACAACCAUGAAUGAAAGCAAAUAGUUUACUGUUCCAAGUCAAACUCUUCUUAUUAUACCGAGUUAUUCAACGACCACACAUUUCUCUGGGGUUGGUGACCCCCCUUCCUUUCUCUUGCCUUAUGGCAUAAUUUGAGAUUUUCAGAUUUUUAAUGUUCUUCAUCAAGGUAGUGAUUGGUCUUAAUAUCUGACGAUGGUGUAUCUUUUUUGUGGUCGAAGACCACCGCUGUUCUUGGUUAAUAUCUAGUAUGUUUGCCACAAUUUCUUUGAUGGUUGCUUUUCCUGAAAAUAAAAAACACACAGUAUUAACAACCAUGAAUGAAAGCAAAUUGUUUACUGUUCCAAGUCAAACUCUUCUUAUUAUACCGAGUUAUUCAACGACCACACAUUUCUCUGGGGUUGGUGACCCCCCUUCCUUUCUCUUUUGCCUAAUUGCAUAAUUUGAGAUGUUCAAAUUUUUCAUUAAGGCAAUGAUGGGUUUUAGUAUCUGAUGUUGUGUCACGGCCCUUUCUAGGUUCUUUUUUUACAUUAUUUUUGGAAAGAUUACCCAGUGCAACUGUUUUCUUAAGCUGCCAAUCAUUUUUUUUUUAAAUAGAAUAUCUGAUAACCAUAGUUUGGGUAUUGACCUUCUGUUAUAUAGUAACAACUUUUCAAAACAAAGAAUAAUCUUUUCUACUACCCAAUUAAAAAAAAUUAUAAUGACCUUUGAAUCCUUGGGACGAAGCAUUAUGUAAAGUGUGAAUCUUCCUAGGAAUAUCAUAUUUGGUAAAUAUCUCAUCAACCAGGAUCUUUGUUGCUACAGUUGUUGACUUAUGUUUCUGUGUUGAAUGCCCAGGCAUACUUAGAGAACACAUCUGUCACCAUCAGCACAUUUUCUCUGCCGUCACUUUAAGGUUCUAGUACUGUAAAAUCCACCGUCUCGGUGUCAAAGAGUCCCCUUUUCCUUUUGGUAUAAGCCUGAUUAACGGUGUUUUAUGAAAAAAGUCACGGCCCUUUCUAGGUUCUUUUUUUACAUUAUUUUCGUAAAGAUUACCCACUGCAAGGGUUUUCUUAAGCUGCCAAUCAUUUUUUUUUUUUUUAAUAGAAUAUCUGAUAACCAUAGUUUGGGUAUUGACCUUCUGUUAUAUAAUAACAACUUUUCAAAACAAAGAGAAUAAUCUUUUCUACUACCCAAGUAAAAACAAAAAUUAUAAUGACCUUUGAAUCCUUGGGACGAAGCAUUAUGUAAAGUGUGAAUCUUCCUAGGAAUAUCAUAUUUGGUAAAUAUCUCAUCAACCAGGGUCUUUGCUACAGUUGUUGACUUCUGUUUCUGUGUUGAAUGCCCAGGCAUACUUAGAGAACACAUCUGUCACCACCGGCACAUUUUCUCUGCCGUCACGUGAAGGUUCUAGUACUGUAAAAUCCACCGUCUCGGUGUCAGUCACCUUUUCCUUUUGGUAUAAGCCUGAUUAACGGUGUUUUAUGAAAAAAGUCACGGCCCUCUCUAGGUUCUUUUUUUACAUUAUUUUUGGAAAGAUUACCCAGUGCAACUGUUUUCUUAAGCUGCCAAUCAUUUUUUUUUUAAAUAGAAUAUCUGAUAACCAUAGUUUGGGUAUUGACCUUCUGUUAUAUAGUAACAACUUUUCAAAACAAAGAAUAAUCUUUUCUACUACCCAAUUAAAAAAAAUUAUAAUGACCUUUGAAUCCUUGGGACGAAGCAUUAUGUAAAGUGUGAAUCUUCCUAGGAAUAUCAUAUUUGGUAAAUAUCUCAUCAACCAGGAUCUUUGUUGCUACAGUUGUUGACUUAUGUUUCUGUGUUGAAUGCCCAGGCAUACUUAGAGAACACAUCUGUCACCAUCAGCACAUUUUCUCUGCCGUCACUUUAAGGUUCUAGUACUGUAAAAUCCACCGUCUCGGUGUCAAAGAGUCCCCUUUUCCUUUUGGUAUAAGCCUGAUUAACGGUGUUUUAUGAAAAAAGUCACGGCCCUUUCUAGGUUCUUUUUUUACAUUAUUUUUGGAAAGAUUACCCAGUGCAACUGUUUUCUUAAGCUGCCAAUCAUUUUUUUUUAAAUAGAAUAUCUGAUAACCAUAGUUUGGGUAUUGACCUUCUGUUAUAUAAUAACAACUUUU